Molecule: ribosomal RNA, 252 nt
Filed under: uncultured bacterium
Lineage: Bacteria
Description: partial 16S ribosomal RNA
Rfam family: Bacterial small subunit ribosomal RNA
Source: RNAcentral
UACGGAGGAUGCGAGCGUUAUCCGGAUUUAUUGGGUUUAAAGGGUGCGUAGGCGGGAUGCCAAGUCAGCGGUAAAAAUGCGGUGCUCAACGCCGUCGGGCCGUUGAAACUGGCGUUCUUGAGUGGGCGAGAAGUAUGCGGAAUGCGUGGUGUAGCGGUGAAAUGCAUAGAUAUCACGCAGAACUCCGAUUGUGAAGGCAGCAUACCGGCGCCCUACUGACGCUGAGGCACGAAAGCGUGGGUAUCGAACAGG